Molecule: long non-coding RNA, 1169 nt
Filed under: Homo sapiens (human)
Lineage: Eukaryota; Metazoa; Chordata; Mammalia; Primates; Hominidae
Description: novel transcript, antisense to B4GALT6
Source: RNAcentral
UGCUGGGGGUUGAGGGACGCGUUGCGAGCCCCGGAUACAUUGUACCCUGGGGGUACAUAAUGAAGGAUGCUGUACCUGAAAGGAAAAGGGCAUCUCCAAAAGGGGACUUCGCGGGUGGAAUUUCCUUCCAAAAUCCUCGAGGAACAAGGUGUAUUUCCGACCUGGAUUAAUGAAUCCCCCCUCCUAUCCCGCACUUCCUGUGGAAACAGUGUCAGGAUGUGGCGCGGACCUAUGUGCGUCCCUUAUACCAGGACUUGCCUUCAACGCUGAAGGUGAACCCUGGGUCAUCCUCGCUGUAUUCAGGCGGCGCUGCAAAGGCUUCUGGGCAGCCAAUAGGCCCUUGAGCGCCUCAGCCCCAUCUUGCUUCAGUAGGCAAACGGACGGGUGUCUUCAUCCACCUCCUAGGCCGUGGUCUACCCUUCGUUCAAAUGUUUCUUCCUGCUAGCUGACUGUCCAGGUCCUUAGCUGUAUCACAUUGUUCAAAUGUGUGUGCGCAGGUGUUUCUUUUUCAACUAAUCAUGCAGGAAGUGGCGGGAUGCCUUACUGCCAUUAUUUGCUGAGUAUUUCCAGAUGGAACUGUAGUUGAUAGCCAAUAAAUUUGGUACGUUUUUAUCGGGAUGCGCAUGCCAUAGAUCGUCCCUGAGAUAAUGCUUUGCAAUGUGGAACCUGAAACACCUAUGUAUAAGCCCAAGCCUUUCAUUAAUAUUAACUGUGAGACCCCUGGAAGCUACUACUUUGUGUGAGCCUGUUUUCUCCGCCCUCAAACAGUGGAUAUAAUACCCCCUUGCAAGGCUGUGAGAUUAAAUGGAUAACUGUGCAUAAUGCUAAGCAUGGUGUCUGGGACGUAAGAGGUUCCUUAUAUCCCAUUAGUUCACUAGGUGGGAUCACCAAGUUGAAAUUCAUUUUUUAAUAUUUUGCUUGUUGGAGUACUCACAACUCAACUUCUCUGGCUAAUUUGAUGUUUAAUUUGAAAGGUAAUGACACUAUUUUGUAACAUUUUUAGAUGCUUAAGGGAAAUUUGAAAUGCAAAGUGGAACAACAUUAAAAGGAAACUCAUUUGUAAAAUAAAGAAAAACAAAAUCUAUGCAAGCCAAAGAAGUCAUGAAUGCUGAGGAAGCAAAAAUUGUGAUUUUCCCCUCUCCAAUCCCACUGUUCAUUUAUCUUUAUUU